GACGAACGCUGGCGGCGUGCCUAACACAUGCAAGUCGAACGGUUCUUUCCUGCUUAUUUCUUGCACUCGAGUGGAAAGCGGGGGGGCGGCCGGGUGAUUAACUCGUGUGUAACCUACCCUACCUUGGGGGAUAACACUCUAAUACAGGUUCUAAUACCGCACAACAGGUUGUGCCUCAGAGCAUAUGAGUGGAAGGCGCUUUCGUGUGUCGUUGAUGGAUGGUCCGGGGGGGCAUUAGCUAGUUGGUGAGGUAACGGUUGACCAAGGGGACGAUGCAUCGGCGAAGUGAGAGGGUGAUCGGCCACACUGGGAGUGAGACAGGGCCCAGGGUCCUGCGGGAGGCAGCAGUAGGGAAUCUUCGGCAAUGGACGAAAGUCUGGCCGAGCAAGGCCGAGUGAGUGAAGAAGGUUUUCGGAUCGUAAAGCUCUGUUGUUAGUGAAGAACAGCGAUGGUAGUAAACGAAGCUGCCCUGACGGUAUCUAAUCAGAAAGCAACGGCUAACUACGUG
RNAcentral lists this ribosomal RNA (508 nucleotides) under uncultured bacterium. Its description in RNAcentral is "partial 16S ribosomal RNA". It matches the Rfam family "Bacterial small subunit ribosomal RNA", at positions 28 to 507 of the family's 1533-position model. The record is from RNAcentral.